AUUGAACGCUGGCGGCAUGCCUUACACAUGCAAGUCGAACGGCAGCACGGGAGCAAUCCUGGUGGCGAGUGGCGAACGGGUGAGUAAUAUAUCGGAACGUGCCCAGUCGUGGGGAUAACGUAGCGAAAGCUACGCUAAUACCGCAUACGAUCUACGGAUGAAAGCGGGGGAUCGCAAGACCUCGCGCGAUUGGAGCGGCCGAUAUCAGAUUAGGUAGUUGGUGAGGUAAAGGCUCACCAAGCCGACGAUCUGUAGCUGGUCUGAGAGGACGACCAGCCACACUGGGACUGAGACACGGCCCAGACUCCUACGGGAGGCAGCAGUGGGAAUUUUGGACAAUGGGCGCAAGCCUGAUCCAGCAAUGCCGCGUGCAGGAUGAAGGCCUUC
This 387-nucleotide ribosomal RNA is filed under the name uncultured bacterium. RNAcentral describes it as "bacterial SSU rRNA". It matches the Rfam family "Bacterial small subunit ribosomal RNA", at positions 30 to 419 of the family's 1533-position model. The record is from RNAcentral.